AUUCCAGAUAAACAUUUGUGUUUGAUUCAUUUAUGGAAGGCAGACGUUAGGAUAGGGAGAGUUCACUGAUGACCCCUUUUUGUUAUCAGGUGGUGUUGUACUAGUACCUCACUGAACAUAU
This is a small nucleolar RNA of Diospyros lotus (date-plum), 121 nucleotides long. NCBI's taxonomy places the organism in Eukaryota, Viridiplantae, Streptophyta, Magnoliopsida, Ericales, Ebenaceae. The record is from RefSeq and is a predicted model, not a curated record.